GACGAACGCUGGCGGCGUGCUUAACACAUGCAAGUCGAACGCUGAAGCUCAGCUUUUGUUGGGUGGAUGAGUGGCGAACGGGUGAGUAACACGUGAGUAACCUGCCCCCUUCUUUGGGAUAACGCCCGGAAACGGGUGCUAAUACUGGAUAUUCACUGGUCUUCGCAUGGGGGUUGGUGGAAAGGGUUUUUCUGGUGGGGGAUGGGCUCGCGGCCUAUCAGCUUGUUGGUGGGGUGAUGGCCUACCAAGGCUUUGACGGGUAGCCGGCCUGAGAGGGUGACCGGUCACAUUGGGACUGAGAUACGGCCCAGACUCCUACGGGAGGCAGCAGUGGGGAAUAUUGCACAAUGGGCGCAAGCCUGAUGCAGCGACGCCGAGUGAGGGAUGGAGGCCUUCGGGUUGUGAACCUCUUUCGCUCAUGGUCAAGCCGCAACAAUGGUUGUGGUGAGGGUAGUGGGUAAAGAAGCGCCGGCUAACUACGUG
Molecule: ribosomal RNA, 483 nt
Filed under: uncultured bacterium
Lineage: Bacteria
Description: partial 16S ribosomal RNA
Rfam family: Bacterial small subunit ribosomal RNA
Source: RNAcentral